This 342-nucleotide ribosomal RNA is filed under the name Triticum aestivum (bread wheat). RNAcentral's name for it is "partial small subunit ribosomal RNA". Lineage: Eukaryota; Viridiplantae; Streptophyta; Magnoliopsida; Poales; Poaceae. The record is from RNAcentral.
AUGCCUACGAGCUUUUCACAUAUUGUUCUUUGCUUAUUUACUUUACCGUUGCUGCUGUUACAAUUACUACAAAACGGUUACUGUUACUUUUGCCACUAUCAUCGUUACUUCCAUACUACUUUGCUACUAAAUACUUUGCCGCAGAUACUAAGUUAUCCAGGUGUGGUUGAAUUGACAACUCAAUUGCUAAUACUUUAUAAUAUUCUUUGGCUCCCCUUGUGUCGAAUCAAUAAAUUUGGGUUGAAUACUCUACCCUCGAAAACUGUUGUGAUCCCCUAUACUUGUGGGUUAUCAAGACUAUUUUCUGGCGCCGUUGCCGGGGAGCAUAGCUCUAUUCUUUGA